CAACUGUUUUUCAAUAAAAAUGACAAACUCAUAAAAAUUAUAUGAGAGAGGAAGUGAAAUUCAGAUAAAAGUUUAAAUUUGUCAGUAAUGAUGAAAAACAUCACAUGUGUAAAACACGUCUAGUCUUUUUAGUUGUUAUUAGGAAUAUUGGAAUUGUAAAUAAUACAUUUUGAUGUCAGACAAAUGUCCACGUAAAUUAUGGUGGUGAACAUAUUUACUCAUAUAUACAUUUAUCUAUACAUUUAAUACAUAUAAACAUAAUUAUAGCGUAAUAUUUUAUUAUUGUAUUAUUUAUUACAGCAGUGCCCGGGACAUUUCUGUCUCCUCUGAUCGUUGGACUCAUUUGUGGAGUUUCACUGAUUUUUCUUCUUCUUCUUCUUCUGCUCGUGUGUCGUUUCAAACAGUCAAAGGAUUCAUUCUUUAUCAGGACUCAGAGCACAAAUCAGAGCUCUGCUAUGAACCACAUGAUCAAUCAGGAUGAAUCUCAACACAGCCAAAACACUUCUCCUCUCCAAGAUGACAGUGUGUUGUAUGCACAGGUCUCCCACAGUAGAUCUAAAGCCAAGAGAGACAAAGGUAAGUACUGGAAUAAAACCAGUAACUUAUUUAUUUUGCUUUUUCAUUUAUAAAGUCUUACACACCAA
This 644-nucleotide long non-coding RNA is filed under the name Oreochromis niloticus (Nile tilapia). Its description in RNAcentral is "lncRNA (ENSONIG00000029747.1)". The record is from RNAcentral. Lineage: Eukaryota; Metazoa; Chordata; Actinopteri; Cichliformes; Cichlidae.